RNAcentral lists this ribosomal RNA (298 nucleotides) under uncultured eukaryote. RNAcentral describes it as "partial 18S ribosomal RNA". It matches the Rfam family "Eukaryotic small subunit ribosomal RNA", at positions 1470 to 1796 of the family's 1831-position model. The record is from RNAcentral.
CCCUUAGACACUCUAGGCGGCACGCGCGCUACAAUGGGCGGAAGAACGUGUUACUGCCUCCGAAAGGAGGGGUGAAUCACGAAUUCUUGCCCGUGAAUGGGAUAGUUUGUUGCAAUUUUCGGACUUGAACUAGGAAUCCCUUGUAAACAUGCUCAAGAAUAGCGUGUUGAAUACGUCCCUGCCGUUUGUACACACCGCCCGUCGUUUCUUCCGACUGAUACUCAUUGUGAGUUGCAAGGACCCUUUAUUAGGAAAUUGCUGCAAAUGCUUUGUAUUGGAGGAAGAAAAAGUCGUAACA